GCUGGUAUGGCGCAAUUGGUAGCGCAACUGACCUGUAAUCAGUAGGUUAAGGGUUCGAGUCCCUUUGCCAGCU
Molecule: transfer RNA, 73 nt
Filed under: Ruminococcus sp. OF05-2BH
Lineage: Bacteria; Bacillati; Bacillota; Clostridia; Eubacteriales; Oscillospiraceae
Also listed under: 1 other name
Description: tRNA-Thr
Rfam family: tRNA
About the family: Transfer RNA (tRNA) molecules are approximately 80 nucleotides in length. Their secondary structure includes four short double-helical elements and three loops (D, anti-codon, and T loops).
Source: RNAcentral